Molecule: ribosomal RNA, 460 nt
Filed under: uncultured bacterium
Lineage: Bacteria
Description: partial 16S ribosomal RNA
Rfam family: Bacterial small subunit ribosomal RNA
Source: RNAcentral
CCUACGGGAGGCAGCAGUGAGGAAUAUUGGUCAAUGGGCGCUAGUCUGAACCAGCCAAGCCGCGUGAAGGAUGACGGCCCUAUGGGUUGUAAACUUCUUUUAUAUGAGGAUAAACUGUGCUACGUGUGGGAUUUUGUAUGUAUCAUAUGAAUAAGGAUCGGCUAACUCCGUGCCAGCAGCCGCGGUAAUACGGAGGAUUCAAGCGUUAUCCGGAUUUAUUGGGUUUAAAGGGAGCGUAGGUGGAUGGAUAAGUCAGUUGUGAAAGUUUGAGGCUCAACCGUGAAAUUGCAGCUGAAACUGGCAGGCUAGAGAGCAGUAGAGGUGGGCGGAAUGCAUGGUGUAGCGGUGAAAUGCUUAGAGAUCACGAAGAACUCCGAUUGCGAAGGCAGCUCACUGGACUGCAACUGACACUGAGGCACGAAAGUGUGGGUAUCAAACAGGAUUAGAUACCCCAGUAGUC